CGGGCCGGCGUACAGGUGCUGCAUGGCUGUCGUCAGCUCGUGCUGUGAAGUGUUGGGUUAAGUCCCGCAACGAGCGCAACCCCUGCUAUCUGUUGCCAGCAAGUGAUGUUGGGGACUCAGAUGGAACUGCCGGUGCAAACCGAGGAAGUGGGGACGACGUCAAGUCAUCAUGGCCCUUAUGUCCUGGGCUACACACGUGCUACAAUGGCCGGUACAGAGCGCAGCGAAGCCGCGAGGCAAGGCGAAUCGCAAAAAGCCGGUCUCAGUACGGAUUGGAGUCUGAAACCCGACUCCAUGAAGUUGGAAUCGCUAGUAAUCGCGCAUCAGCAUGGCGCGGUGAAUACGUUCCCGGGCCUU
This 357-nucleotide ribosomal RNA is filed under the name uncultured Spirochaeta sp. Its description in RNAcentral is "bacterial SSU rRNA". It matches the Rfam family "Bacterial small subunit ribosomal RNA", at positions 1023 to 1382 of the family's 1533-position model. Lineage: Bacteria; Pseudomonadati; Spirochaetota; Spirochaetia; Spirochaetales; Spirochaetaceae. The record is from RNAcentral.